GGGGAUGUAGCUCAGUUGGUAGAGUGCUUACCUCCCAUGUGCAAGGCCCUGGGUUCUAUCCCCAGCACUACCA
This 73-nucleotide transfer RNA is filed under the name Ictidomys tridecemlineatus (thirteen-lined ground squirrel). RNAcentral's name for it is "Spermophilus tridecemlineatus (thirteen-lined ground squirrel) tRNA". It matches the Rfam family "tRNA". Rfam says of the family: Transfer RNA (tRNA) molecules are approximately 80 nucleotides in length. Their secondary structure includes four short double-helical elements and three loops (D, anti-codon, and T loops). The record is from Rfam by way of RNAcentral. Lineage: Eukaryota; Metazoa; Chordata; Mammalia; Rodentia; Sciuridae.